RNAcentral lists this transfer RNA (82 nucleotides) under Trichuris muris. Its description in RNAcentral is "snRNA TMUE_0100000353". It matches the Rfam family "tRNA". From Rfam's summary of the family: Transfer RNA (tRNA) molecules are approximately 80 nucleotides in length. Lineage: Eukaryota; Metazoa; Nematoda; Enoplea; Trichinellida; Trichuridae. The record is from RNAcentral.
AGCACGGUGGCCGAGUGGUUAAGACGUUAGACUUAAGAUCUAAUGGAUAUAUGUCCGCAUGGGUUCGAUCCCAACCGUGCUA